AACGAACGCUGGCGGCAGGCUUAACACAUGCAAGUCGAGCGCAUCCUUCGGGGUGAGCGGCGGACGGGUGAGUAACGCGUGGGAACGUGCCCUCUUCUACGGAAUAGCCUCGGGAAACUGAGAGUAAUGCCGUAUACGCCCGCAAGGGGGAAGAUUUAUCGGAGGAGGAUCGGCCCGCGUUGGAUUAGGUAGUUGGUGGGGUAACGGCCUACCAAGCCGACGAUCCAUAGCUGGUUUGAGAGGAUGAUCAGCCACACUGGGACUGAGACACGGCCCAGACUCCUACGGGAGGCAGCAGUGGGGAAUCUUGGACAAUGGGGGCAACCCUGAUCCAGCCAUGCCGCGUGAUCGAUGAAGGCCUUAGGGUUGUAAAGAUCUUUCAGCUGGGAAGAUAAUGACGGUACCAGCAGAAGAAGCCCCGGCUAACUCCGUG
Molecule: ribosomal RNA, 433 nt
Filed under: uncultured bacterium
Lineage: Bacteria
Description: partial 16S ribosomal RNA
Rfam family: Bacterial small subunit ribosomal RNA
Source: RNAcentral